CACGUAGUUAGCCGGGGCUUCUUCUGGAGGUACCGUCACCCUCUGGGCUAUUAACCCGAGUAGCUUCGUCCCUCCUGAAAGAGGUUUACAACCCGAAGGCCUUCCUCCCUCACGCGGCGUCGCUGCAUCAGGCUUUCGCCCAUUGUGCAAGAUUCCCCACUGCUGCCUCCCGUAGGAGUCUGGGCCGUGUCUCAGUCCCAGUGUGGCUGAUCGUCCUCUCAGACCAGCUACGGAUCGGAGCCUUGGUAGGCCGUUACCCCACCAACAAGCUAAUCCGCCGCGGACCCAUCCUCGGCCGAGGCCGAAGCUACCUUUUCCGACCGGCUCGUGAGCCGGAAGGGCCAUCCGGUAUUAAGUCCGGGUUUCCCCGGGCUAUCCCGGUGCCCGGAGGGCAGGUUAUCCACGUGUUACUCACCCGUUCGCCGCUGUCCCAGGCCGAAGCCCUGGUUCUCGCUCGACUUGCAUGUAGUUUAAGCGGCGCCGCCGACGCCGUUCGGUCCCUUGACGCCGACGGUAGUACAAACC
This 525-nucleotide ribosomal RNA is filed under the name uncultured bacterium. RNAcentral's name for it is "partial 16S ribosomal RNA". The record is from RNAcentral.